RNAcentral lists this ribosomal RNA (402 nucleotides) under uncultured bacterium. RNAcentral describes it as "bacterial SSU rRNA". It matches the Rfam family "Bacterial small subunit ribosomal RNA", at positions 358 to 774 of the family's 1533-position model. The record is from RNAcentral.
GGAAUAUUGGGCAAUGGGCGCAAGCCUGACCCAGCAACGCCGCGUGAAGGAAGAAGGCUUUCGGGUUGUAAACUUCUUUUAAGAGGGACGAAGGACGUGACGGUACCUCUUGAAUAAGCCACGGCUAACUACGUGCCAGCAGCCGCGGUAAUACGUAGGUGGCGAGCGUUAUCCGGAUUUACUGGGUGUAAAGGGCGCGUAGGCGGGUCGGCAAGUCAGAUGUGAAAUGCCGGGGCUCAACCCCGGAGCUGCAUUUGAAACUGUCGGUCUUGAGUGAUGGAGAGGCAAGCGGCAUUCCUAGUGUAGCGGUGAAAUGCGUAGAUAUUAGGAGGAACACCAGUGGCGAAGGCGGCUUGCUGGACAUUAACUGACGCUGAGGCGCGAAAGCGUGGGGAGCAAACA